ACAAAAAACCCCACGAAUCCUACCAUGUUACUUCCCUUGCUUAAAACCUUAGUAGCUUCUCAUAUUAUGUUGCCACCCUGUUGAUUUUCCUCAUAGCUCUUAACUCACAGGAAUUAACAGUACUUGCUCUGUCCCCACUGGCGUGUAAGCUCUUUGAGGGCAGAGACCUUCUGGUCAGUGCUGUAUCAUCACACCUAGAACAUGGCCCGGCACAAAACAGGUGCUCAACAAGCACUUGUUAAGUAAACAUCUCCUACAAUACUCCUAUGAUCAUGUGGUUUUACAAAACUUAAGAGUUUUAAAAUCCAUUACAACUCUUCAACUCUAAGAUGCAUUUUCCAUCCCCUACAUUUCUACCUUUUUCCAAUCAGGACAUAGCUUACAAAUGAUAUACUUAAUGUAGUAGGGUUUUUCCACUAUUUCUCCUCAAAGGGCAUUUAAUAAAAUGAAAGUAACUUUGCAAUUGAGAAAAUAUGAUAAAAAAAUACCUUUAGGUGCAAUCUUUCAAGAGCCUAGGCACGUAAAACAUCCUGUCUACUUAAUUCUCACAACCUCUGAUGAUAGGAAUUCACAUGGCUAAUAAUGGCAGUCAGAGUUCCAACACAGACCUAUCUAGUGCCAAAGCUACAUGCAAUCUUUUUACUACAUUCCACAGUUGCUCUGUCUUACCUCUGUGUAACAGACGGAAACAAAAUCGUAUAAAACCACAGAAUUCACCUACAGUAUGAGGCAAUCCAAUUAAAGGAAAAGUCAUUCUCAGAACAGCUUUUAUUUAGUUUCAGAUUUGCAAAGGGAGACGUGACAUCAAGUUUGGAAGAAAGCUGAAUUACUGGGACUAACAGAGUGAAAAGAAUAUGGACUUUCAAGGUAGGUUCUCUCUCUUUUGCCAUGUGAGGACACAGCAAGAAAACCUUCAUCAGAAGCUGGUUCUUUGAUCACGGACUUCCCAGGCUCCAAAACUGUGAGAAAUAAAUGUCUGUUCUUUAAAAAUUACCCAGUCUGUGGUACUGUAUUAUGGAAGCAUGCAAUGGACAAAGACAACACCAUUGAAAACGUCUUCAAAUGACUGCAUUAUUAUUUAGUAUUGAAAUGAAAAUGAUUUUGGAAGAGAAAGACACAGAAACAGAGCAGUGAGAUAUAUAUUUGAUAUACCUGUGACACAAACAUUCCUCAUUUGAGGAAUAACUGCCAACAUCUAAGCUUGGAAGACUUUUGACAGGAAUUUGGAAGAAAAUCCUAGUCAAUAAUGGAACACCCCCAACUCCUUCUCUUGCCUCUCUCUCACUCACUCGCCCCAGGGAAGCACAUGACUGUGGCAGGAGGCCAUUCAGGUAGCCCUGCAGAGAGGCUCAAGUGGUAAGAGUAUUAGUCUGUUUCACACUCCUGAUAAAGGCAUACCCACGACUGGGCAAUUUACAAAAGAAAGAGGUUUAAUAGACUUACAGUUCUACGUGGCUAGGGAGGACUCACAAUCAUGGUGGAAGGUGAAAGGCAUGUCUCACAUGGCGGCAGACAAACGAGAAGAAGGUGCGGGCAGGGAACCUCCCCUUUAUAAAACCAUCAGAUCUCAUAAGACUUAUUCACUAUCACAAGAACAGCAGAGAAAGACCUGCCCCCAUGAUUCAAUUACCUCCCACCAGGUCCCUCCCACAACACAUGGGAAUUCAAGAUAAGAUUUGGGUGGGAAUACAGCCAAACCAUAUCUCUACAGAAAGAAACAGAUCUCCCGCCACAGCCAGUGAGGAAAUGAGGUCUCUUGACAACACCUGUGAGAGAGCCAUCUGAGAAGAUCCUCCAACCCUGGGGAAACCUUCAGAUGACUGCAGACCUGGCUGACAGUCUGACUGCUGCCUCACGAGAGACCCUCAGCCAGGACUACCCAGCUAAGCCACUUCUGGACUACUAGCCUCAGAAACUGUGUGAGAUAAUAAACAGUUGUUGUUUUUCACUUCUGACUUGGGGGUAAUUUAUUAAUGCAGCAAUAGAUAACUGACAUAAAAGAAACCAAAGCUAGAAAAGCUUACAUUUGCAAAAGUUGUAAUUAAUAAAACUGGGUUAGCUGGCUUUUAGGAAGUAAAGAAAAAGAUAAUUAAAACUUAUAAAACUUAAUUUCCUGCACCU
This 2121-nucleotide long non-coding RNA is filed under the name Homo sapiens (human). Its description in RNAcentral is "HSALNT0251908". The record is from RNAcentral. Lineage: Eukaryota; Metazoa; Chordata; Mammalia; Primates; Hominidae.